This 73-nucleotide transfer RNA is filed under the name Stegodyphus mimosarum. It matches the Rfam family "tRNA". From Rfam's summary of the family: Transfer RNA (tRNA) molecules are approximately 80 nucleotides in length. The record is from Rfam by way of RNAcentral. Lineage: Eukaryota; Metazoa; Arthropoda; Arachnida; Araneae; Eresidae.
GGCAUCGUGGUGUAAUGGUCAGCACGCUCGACGCGUAACCGAGAGGUCCAUGGUUCAAUUCCCGGCGAAGGCG